GACGAACGCUGGCGGCGUGCUUAACACAUGCAAGUCGAACGGAGUGGCGAACGGGUGAGUAACCCGUUGGUGACCUGCCCUGCACUUCGGGAUAAGCCUGGGAAACUGGGUCUAUACCGGAUAGUGGGGGAUGGGUCCGCGGCCUAUCGGCUUGUUGGUGGGGUAAUGGCCUACCAAGGCGGCGACGGGUAGCCGGCCUGAGAGGGUGGACGGCGACAAUGGGACUGCGGCACGGACCAGAAGCCUACGGGAGGCAGCAGUGGGGAAUAUGGCACAACGAGCGGAAGCGUGAUGCAGAGACGCCGGGUGGGGGAUGACGGCCUUCGGGUGGUAAACUCCUUUGACCAUCGACGCGGUAGAUGGAGAAGAAGCACCGGCUAACUACGUGCCAGCAGCCGCGGUAAUUC
This 407-nucleotide ribosomal RNA is filed under the name uncultured bacterium. RNAcentral's name for it is "partial 16S ribosomal RNA". It matches the Rfam family "Bacterial small subunit ribosomal RNA", at positions 28 to 526 of the family's 1533-position model. The record is from RNAcentral.